GUCCACGCUGUAAACGAUGGGUGCUAGGUGUUGCGGGUAUUGACCCCUGCGGCGCCGCAGCUAACGCAUUAAGCACCCCGCCUGGGGACUACGGCCGCAAGGCUAAAACUCAAAGGAAUUGACGGGGGCCCCGCACAAGCGGUGGAGCAUGUGGUUUAAUUCGACGCAACGCGAAGAACCUUACCCGGGUUAGAACCCCCUUGGAAGUCUGCAGAGAUGUGGAUGUGCCCUUCGGGGAACCAAGUGUCCAGGUGCUGCAUGGCUGUCGU
Molecule: ribosomal RNA, 269 nt
Filed under: uncultured bacterium
Lineage: Bacteria
Description: partial 16S ribosomal RNA
Rfam family: Bacterial small subunit ribosomal RNA
Source: RNAcentral